RNAcentral lists this ribosomal RNA (626 nucleotides) under uncultured bacterium. RNAcentral describes it as "bacterial SSU rRNA". It matches the Rfam family "Bacterial small subunit ribosomal RNA", at positions 88 to 710 of the family's 1533-position model. The record is from RNAcentral.
GUGACGAGCGGCGGACGGGUGAGUAAUGUCUGGGAAACUGCCUGAUGGAGGGGGAUAACUACUGGAAACGGUAGCUAAUACCGCAUAACGUCGCAAGACCAAAGAGGGGGACCUUCGGGCCUCUUGCCAUCAGAUGUGCCCAGAUGGGAUUAGCUAGUAGGUGGGGUAACGGCUCACCUAGGCGACGAUCCCUAGCUGGUCUGAGAGGAUGACCAGCCACACUGGAACUGAGACACGGUCCAGACUCCUACGGGAGGCAGCAGUGGGGAAUAUUGCACAAUGGGCGCAAGCCUGAUGCAGCCAUGCCGCGUGUAUGAAGAAGGCCUUCGGGUUGUAAAGUACUUUCAGCGGGGAGGAAGGCGAUGAGGUUAAUAACCUCGUCGAUUGACGUUACCCGCAGAAGAAGCACCGGCUAACUCCGUGCCAGCAGCCGCGGUAAUACGGAGGGUGCAAGCGUUAAUCGGAAUUACUGGGCGUAAAGCGCACGCAGGCGGUCUGUCAAGUCGGAUGUGAAAUCCCCGGGCUCAACCUGGGAACUGCAUUCGAAACUGGCAGGCUAGAGUCUUGUAGAGGGGGGUAGAAUUCCAGGUGUAGCGGUGAAAUGCGUAGAGAUCUGGAGGAAUACC